This 356-nucleotide ribosomal RNA is filed under the name uncultured bacterium. RNAcentral's name for it is "bacterial SSU rRNA". It matches the Rfam family "Bacterial small subunit ribosomal RNA", at positions 527 to 881 of the family's 1533-position model. The record is from RNAcentral.
GUAGGGGGCAAGCGUUAUCCGGAUUUACUGGGUGUAAAGGGAGCGUAGACGGUAUGGCAAGUCUGAAGUGAAAACCCGCAGCUUAACUGUGGGACUGCUUUGGAAACUGUUAAACUAGAGUGCAGGAGAGGUAAGUGGAAUUCCUAGUGUAGCGGUGAAAUGCGUAGAUAUUAGGAGGAACACCAGCGGCGAAGGCGGCUUACUGGACUGUAACUGACGUUGAGGCUCGAAAGCGUGGGGAGCAAACAGGAUUAGAUACCCUGGUAGUCCACGCGGUAAACGAUGAUUACUAGGUGUUGGGAGGCUGGAGCCUUUCGGUGCCGUCGCAAACGCAAUAAGUAAUCCACCUGGGGAGU